Molecule: microRNA, 21 nt
Filed under: Pongo pygmaeus (Bornean orangutan)
Lineage: Eukaryota; Metazoa; Chordata; Mammalia; Primates; Hominidae
Description: ppy-miR-380
Gene: ppy-miR-380
Source: miRBase by way of RNAcentral
UAUGUAAUAUGGUCCACUCUU